Cavia aperea (Brazilian guinea pig) is the source of this 110-nucleotide unclassified non-coding RNA. Its record names the gene 7SK. It matches the Rfam family "7SK RNA". From Rfam's summary of the family: 7SK was discovered as an abundant small nuclear RNA in the mid-70s but a possible function has only recently been suggested. Two independent studies have found that 7SK RNA binds the CDK9/cyclin T complex (known as elongation factor P-TEFb). P-TEFb activates transcription by phosphorylating the C-terminal domain of RNA polymerase II. Lineage: Eukaryota; Metazoa; Chordata; Mammalia; Rodentia; Caviidae. The record is from Ensembl.
GGAUAUGAGGGUGAUCUGGCUGUGGCAUCUGUCACGUUAGCGAUUGCCAGGGUUGAGUUGGCUGAUCUGGCUGGCGAGACAGCUGUCCCCUCUUCCUUCCUCACGGCUCC